Molecule: long non-coding RNA, 1650 nt
Filed under: Heterocephalus glaber (naked mole-rat)
Lineage: Eukaryota; Metazoa; Chordata; Mammalia; Rodentia; Bathyergidae
Description: lncRNA (ENSHGLG00000042492.1)
Source: RNAcentral
CCGUUGGGGGGGGGGUGUCAUCUAGCGGCAGCGAGCUUGUACUGCAGCGCCUGGCCCCCAGCCCUCCCACCCAGCGUCCUCCUCCCCGCCACCAACCAAUCCUGGCCGGCUGACUCCCGGGUUCAGCGUCUCCGACGCCUUUUGCUAGCGAGGCGCCCGCAGGGGCGCGCCGCCGAGUGGGGUAAACAAGGUGCCGUGCCCGCGCUCGACUUACUACUUCGUUUGGACGCGCUUCGGCCGCGGAUUCCUUGGGACCACAGUUCCUGUUUUUAUUAGGGGUGCGGGGGAAGGUGUCGAAGGGAGGGCAGUAGGAAUGUCCGGUGGAGCCCCGGCCAUGGGAAUUGAGAGGCUGGGCUCGCUCGGUGACUCUCCCCCGGCUCCUCCGCCCCUCGCGCACCCACGCGGUGCUGCCCAGUGGGGCAUAACCCUUCUAAGUCCCCUCCUCUGACACGCCCCAGCGAUGGGCCUGCGACCCAAGUGCUCGGACCCUCGCUUCGCUCCGUAUUAGAUGAAAACUACUGCUUUUCUGCUGCAGACAUCGCAUUUAUAGUACAUGAGCACAUUCAUAACAAUUCACUAAAGCCCGAUAUGGUGGUGUACACUGUAAUCCCAGCUGCUCUCCAGGCUGAAGCAGGAGAAUAAUACAGUAGCUUCCUACUGUGGACAGCAUGCAUAUAAUUUUGUAUUUUCUAACACCAUUCCAAACAAGAAGCCAAAAUAUUGAUAAAUUUGAGUCCACAAAAGUUUUUUUUUUAAUUAUAUACUACAAUAUCAUAAAGUCAAAAGAUAAACUAUACACAGAAAAUCUUUAGAGCAUGAAUGAAAAAGGAUAAUUUCUAUAAUCUAUGAACUAACAAGAUAAAAUUUUAAAUUCCAGUAGAAAAAUGGACCACAGUCAAUUUAUUGAAGAAGAAAUACAGAUGGCUAAUAUACAAAAUGAGUGGAGCAUAGUGGCAUGCACUUAUAACCCCAGCACUCUGAGAGGCAGGAGGAUAGCAAGUUCAAGCCCAACCUAGGUGAUUUAGCCAAUCCCUGUCUCAAAAAACAAGGGAGGGAGGGGUGAUAUAGCUGUGUCCAAAGGCCCCAAGUUCAAUCUCCAGUCCUGUGAAAAAUUUAAAUUUAAAAGUAUAUAUAUGGAGGGUGGGGGAUUUAGCUCAGUGGUUCCUCCGCCUGCCUCACAAACGGAAGGACCCGAGUUUGAUCCCAGGUACCAAAAAAAAAAAAGAGAGAACCGUGAUAAAAGUAUAUAUAUGGAGUGCUCAACUUCACUUGCCACUAAGAAAUACAAAUUAAACGCCACUUUUCCUACCAUGUUGGAAGAGAUUUGCAUUUUUGACAAUUCUCAGUCUUGAUGAGCUAAGGACUCUCAUCUACUUUUGGAGGGAUUGUAAAUUGUUGAAAGAGAGGCAGGGUGGCAAAUACCUGUAAUCCUAGCACUGGGGAAGAUGCUGUGUUUAAAGUCAACCUAGGCUAGUAGAAAAACCUUGCCUCAAAAAAAGAGAAAAAGAAAGGACUGAAGAAAAUUAUGAAAGUAUCUUAAAAGAGUAAGUUAUAAAAUUGUCCAGGGCCAGGGAUGUAGCUCAGUGGUGCCACACCUGUGUGGCAUGCGCAAGGUCCUGAGUUCAAUUUCCAGUACCAGAAAGAAUGAAU